AUUUUGGGGGGGGAAAAAACCCUCCUGUGCAAGCCCUGAAGGAAAAGGAAAAUGGGAUCUCGAUCCCUGUCCCUGCAGAAUCUCAAACAUGGGCGUCAAAAGCUUUUGCUGGGAACAAAACAGCAAAAAAAGGGGAAUUUUUGGCAAAUUUUUUUUGACUUUGAGAGGUGUUUUUAAAAAUUUUUACUUUUAGUUUUCUGAGAAGGGUGAGACAAUAGAGAUGUUAUAAUCAGAUGUUAAAAAGAAAUGUCACAGAGAUAGAUAAAUGUUAUAAAUAAUAAAUAGAAUAGAAAUAAAUGUUACCAAAAUAGAUGUGAUAAUUUAUGUUAUUACAAUUAGAAGUUAACUGUUUUUUUAAUUAUAAUAUAAGUGCUUUUUGGUUUAUUAGUUGCAGUUACACUAGGUUGUAAAUGCUUUAAAGCUAAUCAUUUAAAAUUACUCUUUGUGGGGUUUAUUACAAUGUAUUUUUAUAAUUCUAUUUUUUAAUAUUAUAAUGCAUUUUUAUAGUUCUAUUUUUUAAAGUAUUUACUUUUAUUUUUUGAAACUUCCUUUUAGUUUAAUUUUUUUUUCUUAACAAGAAAAUAGCUUUAACUCUUAGUUUUAUUUUAUGCUAUUUCUAAAUCAGUAUUUCUCAUUUUUAGGUUUUUAUAUGUGAGCUUUCUACUAGGCUCUGUGUUUCCUCUUAGCCUAUAAAUUCAUUUCCCACAUUGUGGCACAAGCAGCUGCUUUCCAGGAGCCACUCCAGUCCCAAAAUCUUUUUUUUUUUUUUCUCCCAUCUGGGCUCUAUUCCCAACACUCCCCGUGCACAAACAACCAGAGGAAAUGCCUUUUCCACCCCAGCUCCCAGCUGUACACUCUGUCCCCGCAUUGUGGAUCCCUCCCUGUGCCCCUCUCUCCCCCCCCUCCAUUCACUUUCCCAGCCUGGAACAUGCUGGAAGAAUCCAUAUAAGGUGAGAAAUAUGGAAUAAACACCCCAGAGAAGCUGCAGGGCUGCUGGAAACUUCAUUCUCCCCAACGAUCUUGACCGAAUUCUGCUUUUCUGACGGCAAGGACAAAGGCCAGGCUGGGAGCAGCGUGGCUUCUCCUGGCAACCAACCCCGAAAACCUGGAGCAGAAUAAAACACGGAUCUUAUCAGCACUUAUCAGAGAGCUGUGCUGGCAAAAACAAGCCUGAGCCGUGCCCAGUUCCUUCCUCGGGACGUGCCCGCAGAGCUCCAGAAAAAAUUGUGGAUCCUGCUGUUCUCCCCAUCCGAACCUCUGAGCCCAUGGGAAAGCAGCUUGGAUAGGGAGGAAUGCUUUAAAUAAAAAUUUAGUGGCAGCAAGUUGUCCCUGCUCAGA
Molecule: long non-coding RNA, 1338 nt
Organism: Pyrgilauda ruficollis (rufous-necked snowfinch)
Lineage: Eukaryota; Metazoa; Chordata; Aves; Passeriformes; Passeridae
Exons: 2
Source: RefSeq, a predicted model, not a curated record